UACGUAGGGUGCGAGCGUUUGCCCGGAUUUAUUGGGCGUAAAGGGCGCGUAGGCGGCCACGCACGUCCGUUGUGAAAUCGCCCGGCUCAACUGGGCGGGGUCAGCGGAUACGGUGUGGCUCGAGCAAGCUAGGGGGCAAUGGAAUUCCCGGUGUAGUGGUGGAAUGCGUAGAUAUCGGGAGGAACACCAGUGGCGAAGGCGGUUGCCUGGAGCUUUGCGUGACGACUGAGGCG
This 233-nucleotide ribosomal RNA is filed under the name uncultured bacterium. Its description in RNAcentral is "partial 16S ribosomal RNA". It matches the Rfam family "Bacterial small subunit ribosomal RNA", at positions 524 to 753 of the family's 1533-position model. The record is from RNAcentral.